RNAcentral lists this long non-coding RNA (399 nucleotides) under Manihot esculenta (cassava). Its description in RNAcentral is "long non-coding RNA (MESC_LNC008653)". The record is from RNAcentral. Lineage: Eukaryota; Viridiplantae; Streptophyta; Magnoliopsida; Malpighiales; Euphorbiaceae.
UUUAGUUUUUUCAUGAAGAAGAAGUGGAAGGAAAGAGUGAAAACUCUAAAGGAAAAGGAAAAGAAAAGGAAGAUUAGGAAAUUUUAAGCUUGUGGAAGAUUUUGGAAGGUUAAGGUUUGUGCUCAACUUUAUUUGAGUAAAUUUAAGAAUUUGUUAAUUAUAUGCUAUUUAAAAAUUUUACUACCCUAGUAGAAAUAGACCAAGUGAAUAAUAGUUUAAUUAUAUUGUAUAAUCCAAGUUUGAGAAAUAAUAGAUUGAAUAGAUAGAAAAUUUUAAAAUUCAUAUGUAAUUUAAACAAAAUUUAAGUGAUGGAUCUAAUGAAAUGACUCUAUUUUCUUUGAUAGAAAUAUAAUUUGGUUAGAUAUAGUGACAAUAAAAAAUUUAGUAGACUAAAAAAAA